Molecule: ribosomal RNA, 622 nt
Filed under: uncultured Eubacteriales bacterium
Lineage: Bacteria; Bacillati; Bacillota; Clostridia; Eubacteriales
Description: bacterial SSU rRNA
Rfam family: Bacterial small subunit ribosomal RNA
Source: RNAcentral
ACGAGGUGCAGGGAACGGAGGCUUCGGCCGAAGGGAACUGUUACCGAGUGGCGGACGGGUGAGUAACGCGUGAGCAACCUACCCUGCAACGGGGGACAACAGUUGGAAACGACUGCUAAUACCGCAUGAGACCACGAAACCGCAUGGUUUAGAGGUAAAAGGAUUCAUUCGAUGCAGGAUGGGCUCGCGUCCCAUUAGAUAGUUGGUGAGGUAACGGCCCACCAAGUCAACGAUGGGUAGCCGACCUGAGAGGGUGAUCGGCCACACUGGAACUGAGACACGGUCCAGACUCCUACGGGAGGCAGCAGUGGGGAAUAUUGGGCAAUGGGCGAAAGCCUGACCCAGCAACGCCGCGUGAGGGAAGAAGGUCUUCGGAUUGUAAACCUAUGUCCUAUGGGACGAAGAAGUGACGGUACCAUAGGAGGAAGCUCCGGCUAACUACGUGCCAGCAGCCGCGGUAAUACGUAGGGAGCAAGCGUUGUCCGGAAUUACUGGGCGUAAAGGGUGCGUAGGUGGCUAUUUAAGUCAGGUGUGAAAGACCGGGGCUCAACUCCGGGGUUGCACUUGAAACUGGGUGGCUUGAGUACAGGAGAGGGAAGUGGAAUUCCUAGUGUAGCGGUGA